GAUAGAAGAUGCUGUAUUGAUUUAAGACAAUGUUAGCGCUAUAUCCCAGUCUACUCUUAAUUUUUCUUCUACAGUAUUUGUAUAUAUAUAUAUAUAUAUAUAAUUGCUUAUAACUAGGAUGUCAUUUGUAAUUGCUUAACUUUUUAAUACUAAUUACAAUUCAUGCCAGAUAUACAUUUAGCUCACAGAUUUUGUUUAAUCAAAGGUGAACAUGAAUUUAGCAUUGUCUGGAUCUUGUAGUGCAAACAAUUUCAGUACCUUUAUCCCACUCCCUUGUUGCAGCAAUACUUAUUACAAUUUAAGCAUGUGAAACCUAUUCGACAUAAUAGCUGAAUGAAGCAUCUAAAACAUACAAACUGUUAGGCUUGACCUUUGGGGCCUCAAGUUAAACUUUAAUAUCUACGGCAAUCAGACGUGGCAUUUAUUACAAUAAUCAACUCAUGCAAAAAUACACUCUGCAUACAUCAAUUUGAUAAAUGUUAAAGCUUAUCAAAUAUAAAGCUGUUGUUUAUUAAAUUAUACGUUACUCAAUAGCCUACCUUAUAGUUGCAAAAUAAAUGGAGCCUACUAAUAAACAUGUUCACAACAUAGAGAGUGCCGGUUUUUUGGCAGCAAAUAAAAACAUUCUUGAUCCCUGGGGUAAUAUUCGGAGAAUGAAUAAUCUAAGCGCGAACUGGCACCUCAUAAACUGUAUCUUAAUUUGGGUGACGCAGUUAAGUGGUGUUGAGCGCGGGGAUAUAUCAGGACAGCGGGCAUAUAUAUUAGAGUACCGAGGUUUGAGGUUUGCAGUGCUGUUUGGCUUUUGUUAUGUUAUUUUCAAUCACUGUAUAUAUAAAUAUGUGUCAACAUUUUGAAACGUUUAAACGCUUUCCUCUAAAGCAUACGCAACUUUUAAGUAAACUAAAGUAAAUUGCAACUUGUUUGGGGCAGGGUAAGUUCGUUUUUGGGGUUUUCUUUUUAGCUUUUAUGGUCACUUUACUUUUGUCUUUUCUCGAUAUUAUUAUAUAAAGUGAGGAUAACGUUACAAUGAUUUCCCCUAGGGUUUGAUUUGGCUGUUGAAUAAAUCAGCAUAACGUCGCACAUGUGACGACACUAAAUUCUUUCAGAGUUUAUUUAGCACAAAGUUCUUAUUGAACAGAGUACUUCUCGUUUAUAUUUCUUUUCUGUCGAUCUAAAGGCUUAUCAAAUGGCGGCCAACUGUUUAUGUCCCGGUUAGCUCAUUAUUUCGUCGAGUAAUCUUAUGAACGGAAUGUAAAAAAAAAAAAUGGAUUCGCAAUAGGCGACGGCUGUAUCUUAUCUAGCCUACUGUAAAUGUUGCACUGUACUCUGGCAGAAGUGGCAUUAAAUAGGAAGGCAGGCUGCAGUCUGGCUCUUGUGUAACGGUCGCCGUGAAUCCCAGUUCACCUCAGUUGAACUUGUGCUAUCCAGUUCACAAACGGCACGACGCUGUCAGUCCGGUCUGGCUGGUGUCGCGAGGCCGCCUCUCGAGCGACGAGGAAGGGGAAAGCGAUUUUGACCGUUGAAAAUGGCAAAGACCCCCAAAAAAGUCCCAGCCUCUCGACAUUUGUUAGAAAGCCUGAGAUAGUGUCCGUUAUCGCUCCGUUAUCGCGGACAGCGACACGCGAGAGACGCUGCGGAUCUCCUUUUCUCCAUCUCGUUUCAUUGUUGCCGAGGUGCUUGCAGUCAACAAAAGUAACCGGGGAGCAGGAAUUCGCCAUGAAGAAUGACAUCUCUCCACUGCCCGUCGACUCGGACGGACUGGCUUUCAUUCGUGAACUUGAACUUUAACUUGAGAACUGGUAGUCGAGCAGACCGACUCCGGGCAAGUUUUUGAUAUUUGUAUUUUACAAUAACCAAACGGACUUGAGUAAUCAAGCUUUCGAAGAGACAUGGCUGUAGCGAUACAGCAAUCGUAAUCCACCACGACUGCACCUUAAAAUGGCGAAAACCUGUGCAUACAGUUCUUGACUUACACCCCUUACAGUGUUUCGCUUGUGUCUUGAUCAGACUGAGGAGGAUUUUGGAGAUGAGAGAAGAGUCUCAUUCAUGGCUGGAUGACACAGUCACGUCCCGUAGUGUAUUUCAAAUACUUUGAGGCUGACCUCAGAGUUCACGGCCGUAAUUGAGAAGUCUUGCAGACACGUGCGUGUGGGGGCCCAGGAGAGACCACCACUGUGGAGAGCUUGCUACUGCGUCGGGGCAACGGAGCAAAAGGACAUCGGUACCAGUCUGGAACGCGUCUGUCUACUCAUGCUUUCUUCCUUUGUGUGAUGGCCAAAAGUUUUUUGUUUGUUUGUUUUAUUUUAACACAAACAUGCCCUUUGGACUCUUGCUGAUGAAGAGGAGCAUUGGAUUAAGGUGGUAUAAUUGCCCUUUUUAGACCCAGGACGCAGUGAAGGCAGAUUUCAACUCAAGAUCGGAGGACACAGUGUCUCACAAGUGUCACAAUAUCUCACUAAGGACAUUGCAGAAAAUGGAAAUUUUGUCUACAUUUGUUUUAUCUAUAAUGACACAUUAUAAAUGUAGUACAUCACACUGCUCUGUAACAAACUUGCCCUUUUAAACCCAGCUAGGUUCAAUUAUUUCCAUGAGAGGAACAUCAUGUGCAUGACUGAUGAUAUGAAAUAAUCUGACUGAACUGCAUAUCAAUAGGCCAUCUGCAUAUGAGAGUGUUUCAUGUUGCGGUGUUUGUUUGAAGCUGGAAAACGGAGCCCUCGCUGUGCACAGGAGAGACACUGUCCUUUGGGGUGAGGUAGUAGGUUGUAUAGUUUUAGGGUUAAGCCCUUGCUGUGAGACAACUAUACAACUUACUGUCUUUCCUGAAGUGGCUGUAAUGCCAUCAAUCAAGAGAAGCCCGACCAGUGAAGGACACUUCAACACCAACAUUUAAUAAGCAUUUAAUAACCCUCAUGCUAGAAUAUAAAUACUUUUGUUUUUCCUCAUAUAGGACAUAAAGGUAUUAUUUGAAAUUUGCUGACUUUAGUCUCGUCACUGUCAGGCAUUGUGAUGUAGAAAAGAUCCACACAGCUCACCUUUGUGUCUCAAAGCUGUUUGCCCAUCUCUAAGCCCAAAGAGGAAGACCAGUGUGUUGGGAAAGCCUCUCUGUGAUGUUCGUACAGGGUGAGGUAGUAGGUUGUGUGGUUUCAGGGUCGUGAUUUUGCCCCAUCUGGAGAUAACUAUACAACCUACUGCCUUCCCUGAAGGGCAGCAAUACAACACUGGAGACCAUCGACAGGAUGGCGCCAAGCCAAUCCAAAAGCACUAAGUAGAUUGAAUACUGAAGCAUUUUAAAAGAGUUUGUGUUGCUGGAGUUUGAAGAAACGAUGUAAUUUGUUACUUGUAGUGUUGUGUCACAUAUUGCAGUAGAAGUAGAUGACCAAUAAAGAUAUGACAAUAUCAGUUA
Non-coding RNA from Electrophorus electricus (electric eel), 3403 nucleotides. The record is from RefSeq and is a predicted model, not a curated record. NCBI's taxonomy places the organism in Eukaryota, Metazoa, Chordata, Actinopteri, Gymnotiformes, Gymnotidae.